GCAACUCCUAAAAGAGCUAGAAAAUCAAGGCAUGGCAUUAAUAGAAAGGUAAUUUCUGUCUUCUUUUGUUUCAAAAAUGUUUAAAUUAGAAAAUAACAAAGAAAAAUAGAGCAGCAUGGCUUUCAAAAUUUGUACGAUCUUGUUAAAGGCUUUGACUAAUCAGCGUUCUGCAUCCAUUAUUAAACAUAUUCAAAGCAAAUGG
Molecule: unclassified non-coding RNA, 202 nt
Filed under: Hevea brasiliensis (rubber tree)
Lineage: Eukaryota; Viridiplantae; Streptophyta; Magnoliopsida; Malpighiales; Euphorbiaceae
Source: RNAcentral